Molecule: long non-coding RNA, 208 nt
Organism: Etheostoma cragini (Arkansas darter)
Lineage: Eukaryota; Metazoa; Chordata; Actinopteri; Perciformes; Percidae
Exons: 4
Source: RefSeq, a predicted model, not a curated record
AGCUGUUUCUAUAGACAGGAAAAGAAUAGCUGUUUUUCCAACUUCAGUCAGUGCAAGGCAGGGUUAGCUGGGAGACUUCUUCUAAACGAGGGACACUUCCAACUUCCCGUGGAAUACCAGCAGACAAGGGACAGGGAGUAGUUCUAUACAAUAUCUUUUGGAGAUUAGGGUGAACUCUUGUGUGUUGUAACAGUGUUUUGCAUUUGAG